GACGAACGCUGGCGGCGUGCCUAAUACAUGCAAGUCGAGCGGACGAAUCGAAAGCUUGCUUUUGAUUCGUUAGCGGCGGACGGGUGAGUAACACGUGGGCAACCUGCCCUGUAGACGGGGAUAACACCGAGAAAUCGGUGCUAAUACCGGAUAACACGAAAUGUCGCAUGACGUUUCGUUGAAAGACGGCGCAAGCUGUCGCUACAGGAUGGGCCCGCGGCGCAUUAGCUAGUUGGUGAGGUAACGGCUCACCAAGGCGACGAUGCGUAGCCGACCUGAGGGGGUGAUCGGCCACACUGGGACUGAGACACGGCCCAGACUCCUACGGGAGGCGGCAGUAGGGAAUCUUCCGCAAUGGACGAAAGUCUGACGGAGCAACGCCGCGUGAGCGAAGAAGGCCUUCGGGUCGUAAAGCUCUGUUGUUAGGGAAGAACAAGUAACGCAGUAACUGGCGUUACCGUGACGGUACCUAGCGAGAAAGCCACGGCUAACUACGUG
RNAcentral lists this ribosomal RNA (498 nucleotides) under uncultured bacterium. Its description in RNAcentral is "partial 16S ribosomal RNA". It matches the Rfam family "Bacterial small subunit ribosomal RNA", at positions 28 to 507 of the family's 1533-position model. The record is from RNAcentral.